RNAcentral lists this ribosomal RNA (440 nucleotides) under uncultured bacterium. Its description in RNAcentral is "bacterial SSU rRNA". It matches the Rfam family "Bacterial small subunit ribosomal RNA", at positions 338 to 795 of the family's 1533-position model. The record is from RNAcentral.
CCUACGGGGGGCAGCAGUGGGGAAUAUUGCACAAUGGGGGAAACCCUGAUGCAGCAACGCCGAGUGAGCGAUGAAGGCCUUCGGGUCGUAAAGCUCUGUCCUAAGGGAAGAAUACUGACGGUACCUUAGGAGGAAGCCCCGGCUAACUACGUGCAAGCAGCCGCGGUAAUACGUAGGGGGCUAGCGUUAUCCGGAAUUACUGGGCGUAAAGGGUGCGUAGGCGGCUCUUCAAGUCAGAGGUGUAAUGCUACGGCUCAACCGUAGUAAGCCUUUGAAACUGUAGGGCUUGAGUGCAGGCGAGGGGAGUAGAAUUCCCAGUGUAGGCGUGAAAUGCGUAGAUAUUGGGAGGCACACCAGUUGCGAAGGCGGCUCUCGGGACUGUAACUGACGCUGAGGCACGAAAGUGUGGGGAGCGAACAGGAUUAGAUACCCCUGUAGUC